Molecule: ribosomal RNA, 253 nt
Filed under: uncultured bacterium
Lineage: Bacteria
Description: partial 16S ribosomal RNA
Rfam family: Bacterial small subunit ribosomal RNA
Source: RNAcentral
UACGUAGGGGGCAAGCGUUAUCCGGAUUUACUGGGUGUAAAGGGAGCGUAGACGGCAUGGCAAGCCAGAUGUGAAAUACCGGGGCUCAACCCCGGGGCUGCAUUGGAAACUGGCAGGCUGGAGUGCCGGAGAGGCAGGCGGAAUUCCUAGUGUAGCGGUGAAAUGCAUAGAUAUCACGCAGAACCCCGAUUGCGAAGGCAGCAUGCCGGCUUCCGACUGACGCUGAAGCACGAAAGCGUGGGGAUCGAACAGG